Molecule: ribosomal RNA, 435 nt
Filed under: uncultured bacterium
Lineage: Bacteria
Description: partial 16S ribosomal RNA
Rfam family: Bacterial small subunit ribosomal RNA
Source: RNAcentral
AGCGAACGCUGGCGGCAGGCUUAACACAUGCAAGUCGAACGGGCAUUUUCGGAUGUCAGCGGCAGACGGGUGAGUAACACGUGGGAACGUACCCUUCGGUUCGGAACAACUCUGGGAAACUGGAGCUAAUACCGGAUACGCCCUUAUGGGGAAAGGUUUACUGCCGAAGGAUCGGCCCGCGUCUGAUUAGCUAGUUGGUGGGGUGACGGCCUACCAAGGCGACGAUCAGUAGCUGGUCUGAGAGGAUGAUCAGCCACACUGGGACUGAGACACGGCCCAGAAUCCUACGGGAGGCAGCAGUGGGGAAUAUUGGACAAUGGGCGCAAGCCUGAUGCAGCCAUGCCGCGUGAGUGAUGAAGGCCUUAGGGUUGUAAAGCUCUUUUGUCCGGGACGAUAAUGACGGUACCGGAAGAAUAAGCCCCGGCUAACUUCGUG